AUGGAGGACCCCUGCCUUGGCACCUUCUCCCCAAGGUGCUCUGCACACUUUAAUUCUCUUGCUCUCUCAUCACCCCCUAUGCCCGUCAUCCCUCUAUCCCUCUCACCCCCUAUGCCUGUCAUCCCUCUAUCCCUCUCACUCCCUAUGCCCGUCAUCCCUCUAUCCCUCUCACUCCCUAUGCCCGUCAUCCCUCUAUCCCUCUCACUCCCUAUGCCCAUCAUUCCUCUAUCCCUCACUCCCUAUGCCCGUCAUCACUCUCUCUCAUCACUCCCUAUGCCCGUCAUCACUCUCUCUCAUCACUCCCUAUGCCCGUCAUCACUCUCUCUCAUCACUCCCUAUGCCCGUCAUCACUCUCUCUCAUCACUCCCUAUGCCCGUCAUCCCUCUCACUCCCAAUGCCCGUCAUCCCUCUCUCUCAUCACUCCCUAUGCCCGUCAUCACUCUCUCUCAUCACUCCCUAUGCCCGUCAUCACUCUAUCCCUCUCAUUCCCUAUGCCCGUCAUCCCUCUAUCCCUCUCACUCCCUAUGCCCGUCAUCACUCUCAUCACCCCCUAUGCCCGUCAUCCCUCUCACUCCCUAUGCCUGUCAUCCCUCUAUCCCUCUCACUCCCUAUGCCCGUCAUCCCUCUAUCCCUCUCACUCCCUAUGCCCGUCAUCCCUCUAUCCCUCUCACUCCCUAUGCCCGUCAUCCCUCUAUCCCUCUCACUCCCUAUGCCCGUCAUCCCUCUAUCCCUCACUCCCUAUGCCCAUCAUCCCUCUAUCCCUCACUCCCUAUGCCCGUCACUCUAUCCCUCUCACUCCCUAUGCCCAUCAUCCCUCUCACUCCCUAUUCCCAUCAUCCCUCUCACUCCCUAUUCCCGUCAUCACUCUCUCUCAUCACUCCCUAUGCCCGUCAUCACUCUCUCUCAUCACUCCCUAUGCCCGUCAUCCCUCUCACUCCCUAUGCCCGUCAUCCCUCUAUCCCUCUCACUCCCUAUGCCCGUCAUUCCUCUAUCCCUCUCACUCCCUAUGCCCGUCAUCACUCUCUCUCAUCACUCCCUAUGCCCGUCAUCACUCUCUCUCAUCACUCCCUAAGCCCGUCAUCACUCUAUCCCUCUCACUCCCUAUGCCCGUCAUCCCUCUAUCCCUCUCACUCCCUAUGCCCGUCAUCCCUCUAUCCCUCUCACUCCCUAUGCCCGUCAUCUCUCUCUCAUCACUCCCUAUGUCCGUCAUCACUCUCUCUCAUCACUCCCUAUGCCCGUCAUCCCUCUAUCCCUCUCACUCCCUAUGCCCGUCAUUCCUCUCACUCCCUAUGCCCGUCAUCACUCUCUCUCAUCACUCCCUAUGCCCGUCAUCACUCUAUCCCUCUCACUCCCUAUGCCCGUCAUCCCUCUAUCCCUCUCACUCCCUAUGCCCGUCAUUCCUCUCACUCCCUAUGCCCGUCAUCCCUCUAUCCCUCUCACUCCCUAUGCCCGUCAUCCCUCUAUCCCUCUCACUCCCUAUGCCCGUCAUCCCUCUCACUCCCUAUGCCCGUCAUCACUCUCUCUCAUCACCCCCUAUGCCCGUCAUCCCUCUAUCCCUCUCACCCCCUAUGCCCGUCAUCCCUCUAUCCCUCUCACUCCCUAUGCCCGUCAUCCCUCUCACUCCCUAUGCCCGUCAUUCCUCUAUCCCUCUCACUCCCUAUGCCCGUCAUCCCUCUAUCCCUCUCACUCCCUAUGCCCGUCAUCCCUCUGUCCCUCACUCCCUAUGCCCGUCAUCCCUCUAUCCCUCACUCCCUAUGCCAAUCAUCCCUCUAUCCCUCUCACUCCCUAUGCCCGUCAUCCCUCUAUCCCUCUCACUCCCUAUGCCUGUCAUCCCUCUCACUCCCUAUGCCUGUCAUCCCUGUAUCCCUCUCACUCCCUAUGCCCGUCAUCCCUCUCACUCCCUAUGCCCGUCAUCCCUCUAUCCCUCUCACCCCCUAUGCCUGUCAUCCCUCUAUCCCUCUCACUCCCUAUGCCCGUCAUCCCUCUAUCCCUCUCACUCCCUAUGCCCGUCAUCCCUCUAUCCCUCACUCCCUAUGCCCGCCAUCCCUCUAUCCCUCUCACUCCCUAUGCCCAUCAUCCCUCUAUCCCUCACUCCCUAUGCCCGUCAUCACUCUUUCCCUCUCACUCCCUAUGCCCAUCAUCCCUCUCACUCCCUAUGCCCGUCAUCCCUCUCACUCCCUAUGCCCGUCAUCCCUCUAUCCCUCUCACUCCCUAUGCCCGUCAUCCCUCUAUCCCUCUCACUCCCUAUGCCCGUCAUCCCUCUAUCCCUCUCACUCCCUAUGCCUGUCAUCCCUCUAUCCCUCUCACUCCCUAUGCCCGUCAUCCCUCUAUCCCUCUCACUCCCUAUGCCCGUCAUUCCUCUCACUCCCUAUGCCCGUCAUCCCUCUAUCCCUCUCACUCCCUAUGCCCGUCAUCCCUCUAUCCCUCUCACUCCCUAUGCCUGUCAUCCCUCUAUCCCUCUCACUCCCUAUGCCCGUCAUCCCUCUCACUCCCUAUGCCCGUCAUCACUCUCUCUCAUCACCCCCUAUGCCCGUCAUCCCUCUAUCCCUCUCACCCCCUAUGCCCGUCAUCCCUCUAUCCCUCUCACUCCCUAUGCCCGUCAUCCCUCUCACUCCCUAUGCCCGUCAUCCCUCUAGCCCUCUCACUCCCUAUCCCUGUCAUCCCUCUAUCCCUCUCACUCCCUAUGCCCGUCAUCCCUCUGUCCCUCACUCCCUAUGCCCGUCAUCCCUCUAUCCCUCACUCCCUAUGCCCAUCAUCCCUCUAUCCCUCUCACUCCCUAUGCCCGUCAUCCCUCUAUCCCUCUCACUCCCUAUGCCCGUCAUCCCUCUAUCCCUCUCACUCCCUAUGCCUGUCAUCCCUGUAUCCCUCUCACUCCCUAUGCCCGUCAUCCCUCUCACUCCCUAUGCCCGUCAUCCCUCUAUCCCUCUCACCCCCUAUGCCUGUCAUCCCUCUAUCCCUCUCACUCCCUAUGCCCGUCAUCCCUCUAUCCCUCUCACUCCCUAUGCCCGUCAUCCCUCACUCCCUAUGCCCGCCAUCCCUCUAUCCCUCUCACUCCCUAUGCCCAUCAUCCCUCUAUCCCUCACUCCCUAUGCCCGUCAUCACUCUAUCCCUCACUCCCUAUGCCCAUCAUCCCUCUCACUCCCUAUGCCCGUCAUCCCUCUCACUCCCUAUGCCCGUCAUCCCUCUAUCCCUCUCACUCCCUAUGCCCGUCAUCCCUUUACCCCUCUCACUCCCUAUGCCUGUCAUCCCUCUAUCCCUCUCACUCCCUAUGCCCGUCAUCCCUCUAUCCCUCUCACUCCCUAUGCCUGUCAUCCCUGUAUCCCUCUCACUCCCUAUGCCCUUCAUCCCUCUAUCCCUCUCACUCCCUAUGCCCGUCAUCCCUCUAUCCCUCUCACUCCCUAUGCCCGUCAUCCCUCUAUCCCUCUCACUCCCUAUGCCCGUAAUCACUCUCUCUCAUCACUCCCUAUGCCCGUCAUCCCUCUAUCCCUUUCACUCCCUAUGCCCUUCAUCCCUCUAUCCCUCUCACUCCCUAUGCCCGUCAUCCCUCUAUCCCUCUCACUCCCUAUGCCCGUCAUCCCUCUAUCCCUCUCACUCCUUAUGCCCGUCAUCCCUCUCACUCCCUUUGCCCAUCAUCCCUCUAUCCCUCUCACCCCCUAUGCCCGUCAUCCCUCUAUCCCUCUCACUCCCUAUGCCCGUCAUCCCUCUAUCCCUCUCACUCCCUAUGCCCGUCAUCCCUCUCACUCCCUAUGCCCGUCAUCCCUCUCACUCCCUAUGCCCGUCAUCCCUCUCACUCCCUAUGCCCGUCAUCACUCUCUCUCAUCACUCCCUAUGCCCGUCAUCCCUCUAUCCCUCUCACUCCCUAUGCCCUCUAUCCCUCUCGCUCCCUAUGCCCGUCAUCCCUCUAUCCCUCUCGCUCCCUAUGCCCGUCAUCCCUCUAUCCCUCUCACUCCCUAUGCCCGUCAUCCCUCUAUCCCUCUCACUCCCUAUGCCCGUCAUCCCUCUAUCCCUCUCACUCCCUAUGCCCGUCAUCCCUCUAUCCCUCUCACUCCCUAUGCCCGUCAUCCCUCUCACUCCAUAUGCCCGUCAUCCCUCUAUCCCUCUCACUCCCUAUGCCCGUCAUCCCUCUAUCCCUCUCACUCCCUAUGCCCGUCAUCCCUCUCACUCCCUAUGCCCGUCAUCCCUCUCACUCCCUAUGCCCGUCAUCCCUCUAUCCCUCUCGCUCCCUAUGCCCGUCAUCCCUCUAUCCCUCUCACUCCCUAUGCCCGUCAUCUCUCUCACUCCCUAUGCCUGUCAUCCCUCUAUCCCUCUCACUCCCUAUGCCCGUCAUCACUCUAUCCCUCUGUUUUUGUCUCCCACCUCCAACUUCGCAGUAUAAGGGAGACGGGAAGUGGUGAGGGUUUAACAAGCCUCUGGAGACAGGAAGUGGUGAGGGUUUAA
RNAcentral lists this long non-coding RNA (4437 nucleotides) under Oncorhynchus mykiss (rainbow trout). RNAcentral describes it as "lncRNA (ENSOMYG00000052618.1)". Lineage: Eukaryota; Metazoa; Chordata; Actinopteri; Salmoniformes; Salmonidae. The record is from RNAcentral.